Non-coding RNA from Podarcis lilfordi (Lilford's wall lizard), 82 nucleotides. NCBI's taxonomy places the organism in Eukaryota, Metazoa, Chordata, Lepidosauria, Squamata, Lacertidae. The record is from the annotation of a GenBank genome assembly.
AGGACCAUAGCUCAAUGGUAGAGCAUCUGCUUUGCAUGCAGAAGGCCGCUGAUUCAACUCCCAAGAUCUCCAGGUAGUGUUG